GACAGAGGGUGCAAACGUUGUUCGGAAUUACUGGGCGUAAAGCGCGUGUAGGCGGCCCUGCAAGUCGGGUGUGAAAUCCCACGGCUCAACCGUGGAAGUGCACUCGAAACUGCAGGGCUAGAGUCCUGGAGAGGAAGGUGGAAUGCUUGGUGUAGAGGUGAAAUUCGUGAGAUAUCAAGCGGAACACCGGUGGCGAAGGCGGCCUUCUGGGACGAGUGACCUGACGCUGAGACGCGAAA
RNAcentral lists this ribosomal RNA (239 nucleotides) under uncultured bacterium. RNAcentral describes it as "partial 16S ribosomal RNA". It matches the Rfam family "Bacterial small subunit ribosomal RNA", at positions 524 to 758 of the family's 1533-position model. The record is from RNAcentral.